CAGUAGCCGCGGUAAUACGAAGGGGGCUAGCGUUGUUCGGAAUUACUGGGCGUAAAGCGCACGUAGGCGGAUAUUUAAGUCAGGGGUGAAAUCCCAGAGCUCAACUCUGGAACUGCCUUUGAUACUGGGUAUCUUGAGUAUGGAAGAGGUGAGUGGAAUUCCGAGUGUAGAGGUGAAAUUCGUAGAUAUUCGGAGGAACACCAGUGGCGAAGGCGGCUCACUGGUCCAUUACUGACGCUGAGGUGCGAAGGCAUGGGGAGCAGACAGGAUUAGAUACCCCCGUAGUCCCUGUCUCUUAUAC
This 301-nucleotide ribosomal RNA is filed under the name uncultured bacterium. Its description in RNAcentral is "partial 16S ribosomal RNA". It matches the Rfam family "Bacterial small subunit ribosomal RNA", at positions 509 to 807 of the family's 1533-position model. The record is from RNAcentral.